Molecule: RNA transcript, 2112 nt
Organism: Ictalurus punctatus (channel catfish)
Lineage: Eukaryota; Metazoa; Chordata; Actinopteri; Siluriformes; Ictaluridae
Exons: 3
Source: RefSeq, a predicted model, not a curated record
UUAGGGCACCCAUUUGGCCAGUAGCGGACCUGAUUCUGCCUUAACAUUACACUUGUCACAAACGGAUGGAAAAAUUCUGGAAACAGACGUCUCAAACAGGUUUGAUGAAGUUUUACAUCCUGUAUCAGUGAUUUUGCAUACAGAAUGACAUCAUCCCUGCCUCACUCUAUUGCUGUGGUGCCUGGUUUGUGGACUUUACACUCUUUGUUGUAAGGAUAAUGUUUUUGCCAUGAUGUCUGAAAAUGUUUCAUCUUCAUUAAUUUAAAUAAAUAAAUAUAUAUAAUAAAAUAAAAUUGUGAAUUCCUGACUGUAUAUGAACUCAACUGAUAACAACCUGCUCGCAAAAUAAUAAUAAUAACAACUCACUCAAAAAACACACUCAAAAAAAGUUGGACAAAGGCAUGUUUACCACUGUGUUACAUCACCCUUCCUUUUAAUUACACUUUUUAAUCGUUUGGGAAAUGAGGAUAAUAACUGUUGCAGUUUUGCAAGUGGAAUUUUAGCCGAUUCUUGCUUGAUACAAGACUUCAGCUGCUCAACAGUUCUUAGUCGCCAUUGUCUGAUUCUCCUCUUCAUGAUGCACCAUAGGAGACAGAUCUGGACUGCUGGCAGGCCGCUCAAGCACACGCACUCCGUGUCUACGAAGCCAUGCUAUUGUAGCACAUGCAGAAUGAGGCCUGGCAUUGUCUUGAUAAAGUAACCAUGGACUUCCUGGGAAAAGACGUUGUCUUGAUGGCAGCAUGUGUCUCUCUACAACCCCUCAUAUAUACGCCUCAGUGUCAAUGAGAACUCGACAUCCGUUUUUCCCGAAAACAAGCUGAAACAUGGACUCAUCUGACCACAGCACACCUUUCCACUGCCUUUCAGUCCAUCUGAGAUGAGCUCAGGCCCAGAGAACUCGGCGGCGUUUCUGCAUAGAGUUGAUGUAUGGCUUCCUCCUUGUGUAAAAGAGUUUCAGGUUGCAUUUCUGGAUGCAGCAGCUGACUGCGUUAAGUGACAACGGUUUUCCGAAGUACUCCCGAACCCAUGUGGUUAUAUUUAUCACAGUAGCAUGAUGAUCUUUCAGGCAAAGCCGCCUGAGGGCUCGAAGAUCAUACACAUUCAACAGUGGUUUCGGCCUUCCCCUUUAAGCAAUGAGAUUUCCCCAUUUUCUCUGAAUCGUUUCACAAUAUUAUGGACUGUAGAUGGUGAAAGAUCUAAAUACUUUGCAAUCUUGUGUUGAGCAAUGUUCUUUUUGAACUGACUGACAAUUCUCGCACGAAGCUUGGAACAAAUUGGUGAGCCAAGACCCAUCCUUGAUAGCAAAGACCAAGCUUUUGGUGGAUGCUCCUUUUUUGACCCAAACCUGAUCCUCCAAAAUGGUUUUAUUUGAAUAUUCUAUAAACUUUUCAGUCUUAUUUUGCCUUUGUCCCAACUUUUUUUGAGUGUGUUGAAGGCAUCAAAUUCUAAAUUUGUUUAAAUUUACAAAAUACAAUUAAGUUGUUCAGUGAAAACAUUCAUUAUCUUUUCUUUGUACGUUUGUCAGUUAAUUAAAGUUUCAAGAGACUUGACAAAUCACGGAUUUUUAAUGCGUUUUAGAAAAAAUCCCAACUUUUAUGGAAAUGGGGAUAAUAUAUGAAUAAAUAUUAAUACUGCAUAUAACAAGUAAAUUGAGUCAUGGAAAGAGUGAUGAGAGAUCUUCAAAAAUAAAAAAUGAGACAGUGGUUGUUGUGGUUUCCUGAUAAUCACACUAUAUAACAGAGAGACACUCAGGCAGUGUGAGUGUGUGUGUGUUGUCACUUUGAGGGACUGGUGUGUGUGCAGAAGAAUCAGUAAUGAUGAAGUGCUUGUAUCUUUUGUCUGCUGUGUUUCACGUCGCUGCAGGUGAGUGAAGUUAUUUUCUAUUUUCUAUUACAGAAAGGAGAGAGAAUAUUAUCCAGUUCUUAGUUCAGCUGCUUUGUGUUUAGUUCAUGUGGUUUCUGUCCAGACUGGGUUUACAGUAGGCCGUAGUUCAGCCCUGUUCCUGAACAACCAAAUUGUCCAAAGACAGCAGUAAUCUUUAUACACAAGGUAAACAUACACGUCAUGCCUUGUGUUAUAAUCUCCUUAUUUAGACCUGUUCAGCUUUGAUCA